Molecule: unclassified non-coding RNA, 200 nt
Filed under: fungal sp.
Lineage: Eukaryota; Fungi
Description: partial internal transcribed spacer 2
Source: RNAcentral
UUAAGUUCAGCGGGUAUCCCUACCUGAUCCGAGGUCAAACUAAGAAUCAUAGACGUGUGCGGCAGCCCCGCGGCCUGGCCCUUGUGCGUACAAUCUGCUACGCGCAAGACCAACCGCCGGACGCCGAUACUUUUUAAGGCGAGUCCACCGUGCAACGCGGGGACAGACGCCCCAACACCAAGCUGUGCUUGAGGUUUGUA